Molecule: small RNA, 1517 nt
Filed under: uncultured Arctic sea ice bacterium
Lineage: Bacteria
Description: bacterial SSU rRNA
Rfam family: Bacterial small subunit ribosomal RNA (bases 1-993)
Source: RNAcentral
AAGGGACCUAGCGUAGUUCGGAAUUACUGGGCUUAAAGAGUUCGUAGGUGGUUGAAAAAGUUGGUGGUGAAAUCCCAGAGCUUAACUCUGGAACUGCCAUCAAAACUUUUCAGCUAGAGUAUGAUAGAGGAAAGCAGAAUUUCUAGUGUAGAGGUGAAAUUCGUAGAUAUUAGAAAGAAUACCAACUGCGAAGGCAGCUUUCUGGAUCAUUACUGACACUGAGGAACGAAAGCAUGGGUAGCGAAGAGGAUUAGAUACCCUCGUAGUCCAUGCCGUAAACGAUGUGUGUUAGACGUUGGAAAUUUAUUUUCAGUGUCGCAGGGAAACCGAUAAACACACCGCCUGGGGAGUACGACCGCAAGGUUAAAACUCAAAUGAAUUGACGGGGACCCGCACAAGUAGUGGAGCAUGUGGUUUAAUUCGAAGAUACGCGCAGAACCUUACCAACACUUGACAUGUUCGUCGCGACUUUAAGAGAUUAGAGUUUUCGGUUCGGCCGGACGAAACACAGGUGCUGCAUGGCUGUCGUCAGCUCGUGUCGUGAGAUGUUGGGUUAAGUCCCGCAACGAGCGCAACCCUCACUUUUAGUUGCCAUCAUUAAGUUGGGCACUCUGAAAGAACUGCCAGUGAUAAGCUGGAGGAAGGUGGGGAUGACGUCAAGUCCUCAUGGCCCUUACGUGUUGGGCUACACACGUGCUACAAUGGUAUCUACAACAGGAAGCAAAACUGCGAAGUUAAGCAAAUCCCUAAAAGAUACCUCAGUUCGGAUUGCACUCUGCAACUCGAGUGCAUGAAGCUGGAAUUACUAGUAAUCGUGGAUUAGCGUGCCACGGUGAAUGCGUUCCCGGGUCUCGUACACGCCGCCCGUCACACCAUGGGAGUUGGUUCUACCUUAAGGCAAGGUUUUAAACCCUUGACCACGGUAUAGUCAGCGACUGGGGUGAAGUCGUAACAAGGUAGCCGUAGGGGAACCUGCGGCUGAUUACCUCCUUUCCAAGGAUGAGUAAAAGUAAAAUUUUACUCUAAAUAAUAUACAUCGGUAAUGUUGACCGUCCUCAUUUCUCUUCUCAAAGUAAUGUUUCCUUCUUGUAGGGCCGGUAGCUCAGUUGGUUAGAGCACACCCUUGAUAAGGGUGGGGUCGAAAGUUCGAGUCUUUCUCGGCCCACCAAAAACCUAAAUGGGGGAUCAGCUCAUCUGGGAGAGCGCCUGAUUUGCAUUCAGGAGGUAGCAGGUUCGAUCCCUGUAUCCUCCACCAGGAAACAUUUAGUUAUUAAAACUGUAAAUAAAAAUAAUUUAUAUCAAUAUCUAUAUCCGAACAUUAAAAGUUAUUAUUUAAUGUUCAAAAUAAAAAUUUGAUCACAACAUAGAUAAAUUUUCUGUUAAAAGAAUUUUUUUCUGUGCAUAAAUCAAGCGUUUAAGGGCGUGUAGUGGAUGCCUUGGCACUGAAAGCCGAUGAAGGACGUGAUAUACUGCGAUAAGUUUCGGGGAGCUGUAUGUAAGCUUUGAUCCGAAAAUUU